Columba livia (rock pigeon) is the source of this 1176-nucleotide long non-coding RNA. RefSeq lists it as uncharacterized. The transcript has 3 exons. NCBI's taxonomy places the organism in Eukaryota, Metazoa, Chordata, Aves, Columbiformes, Columbidae. The record is from RefSeq and is a predicted model, not a curated record.
CGCACACAGACGAAACUGCGGAGGGCUGAGGCCCGCAGGAGAGACAAUCUCCAGGGUGUUCCUUCCCGGCCGGGGGCCGCUCCGCGCAGAGCGGCCGGGCAGCCGGAGCCAGCUGUGCCCGCUGGCGCAACGCGCCCGGGGCUGCCGGGCUCCCCAGGGCCGGGCUGGCUUCUUUCUGCCGGCCACCCGUGCUGCUCCCGGCGCUCCCCCUCGCCGGCAUUUCCGCGGCGAGGGCCGGUGCAGGUGUAACAGCACUGCUGCGUGUGUCAUCACCUCCACCAAAUGGCAGAUGCCUCCCUUUUGACUCCUAAGCCGGGCACACAGCUCCUGACCAGGGCUCGCUCGCAAAGGACAUUUGACAUCCUAGGGGCUUGUUUGGGCUUUUUUUUUUUUUGACAGCCCUAUCAAGGGGGAUUUCGGAUGAACACCAGGGCAGAAGCUCAGCCCAGCGCUUGGAGCGGCGAUCGGGCCGAGCAUCGGCAAAGAAUGAAGAUGUGGUGCCCUUUGCUUGUUGCUACUGCUGCCCAAAGUGCUGUGGGAACACUCUUACUGCAUUUCCUCCAUAAGGACCUGGCCAUAAGAAAGCAAGUUCCCAUCAUCUCAGAGCUGGUUCUGUAGCAAAGCACAAUUUGGCUUCCAGAAACGGUGUCAGCUGGAAGCCUUCAGCUCAGGACUAACGAAAAAGAAGAAAUCCAUGAAUCUCAGAACAAAGUCUGGAAUAGGAGAAGGAAUAACAUACAACCCUAAAGCAACUCUUUGGUAUCUCCAAAAGAAGGUCCCUUGGUGCCUGUGUGAAGACAGAAAAUGCAAGAUUACUUACACCCUUUUUGAAAUUCUAAGCUUGGGCAUUAUUGUAAACUUUUUCAGGGGAAGGGUGAGAACACAUUCAUAUAGUGACUUGGACAGUAGGAUCCCGAGCCUAUUCUGGAGCUUAUUGCAAUGUUAUUAAUAAGUAUCACUAGUGGAAUUAACGGCUCAUCUCUCAAGUGUUCCUCUGACCUGAGAAAGAGAGGUCUCAUGCUUCACAUUUAGAAAUGGUAAUUAGCAAAAAAAGGGCCUUGAGGGAGAAGAUAAAGAUGAGGUGAAAAUAUCAGCCAAUGAACACAUUGUAAAGAAGUUAUGUGGAUAAAACUGCUUGUAGAAUGCAAGUGUUUUAAAUAAAAUAGAAUAAAAUUC